RNAcentral lists this ribosomal RNA (582 nucleotides) under Anthracocystis elionuri. Its description in RNAcentral is "LSU rRNA". It matches the Rfam family "Eukaryotic large subunit ribosomal RNA", at positions 92 to 655 of the family's 3401-position model. Lineage: Eukaryota; Fungi; Basidiomycota; Ustilaginomycetes; Ustilaginales; Ustilaginaceae. The record is from RNAcentral.
AGUGAAGAGGGAAGAGACCAAGAUUGAAAGCUGGCGUCUUCGGCGUCCGCAUUGUAAUCUCAAGAAGUGUUUUCCGCUUCGGACCAUGCCUAAGUCCCUUGGAAAAGGGCAUCAUAGAGGGUGAUAAUCCCGUACAUGGCAUGGAGCGCCCGAGGCUUUGUGAUACGCUUUCUAAGAGUCGAGUUGUUUGGGAAUGCAGCUCAAAAUGGGUGGUAAAUGCCAUCUAAGGCUAAAUAUUGGGGAGAGACCGAUAGCGAACAAGUACAGUGAUGGAAAGAUGAAAAGAACUUUGAAAAGAGAGUUAAACAGUACGUGAAAUUGCCAAAAGGGAAGGGUAGGAGGUCAGAGAUGCGUCUUGGGAUUCAGCCUUGCUUUUGCUUGGUGUUUUUCCCAAGUUGCAGGCCAACGUCGGUUUUGGGCACUGGAGAAGGGUGGAAGGAACGUGGCACCUCUCGGGGUGUGUUAUAGCCUUCUACUGGAUACAGCGACCGAGACCGAGGACAGCAGCGUACUCGCAAGAGCGGGCCUUCGGGCACCUUUACGCUUAGGGCGUUGGCAUAAUGGCCCUCUACCACCCGUCUU